GAUGAACGCUGGCGGCGUGCCUAAUACAUGCAAGUCGAGCGAACAGACGAGGAGCUUGCUCCUCUGACGUUAGCGGCGGACGGGUGAGUAACACGUGGAUAACCUACCUAUAAGACUGGGAUAACUUCGGGAAACCGGAGCUAAUACCGGAUAAUAUAUUGAACCGCAUGAUUCAAUAGUGAAAGACGGUUUUGCUGUCACUUAUAGAUGGAUCCGCGCCGCAUUAGCUAGUUGCUAAGGCAACGGCUUACCAAGGCAACGAUGCGUAGCCGACCUGAGAGGGUGAUCGGCCACACUGGAACUGAGACACGGUCCAGACUCCUACGGGAGGCAGCAGUAGGGAAUCUUCCGCAAUGGGCGAAAGCUUGACGGAGCAACGCCGCGUGAGUGAUGAAGGUCUUCGGAUCGUAAAACUCUGUUAUUAGGGAAGAACAAAUGUGUAAGUAACUAUGCACGUCUUGACGGUACCUAAUCAGAAAGCCACGGCUAACUACGUG
This 497-nucleotide ribosomal RNA is filed under the name uncultured bacterium. RNAcentral's name for it is "partial 16S ribosomal RNA". It matches the Rfam family "Bacterial small subunit ribosomal RNA", at positions 28 to 507 of the family's 1533-position model. The record is from RNAcentral.